UUUAAGUGUAACCAUAAAUUUUUGUGCCUAAUUUUGAUCGUUCGUCUUAUUUAAAUUUUUUUAUAAUUAAUAUUUUUAUUGUUAUGAAAAAUAUGAAUAGUGCUUUAUACAUGACUUAUGUUUUUUUAGAAAAAAUUAAAUAUGAUGAACGGUCAAAGUUGCGUAUGAAAAAUUAUGGUUACACUUAAA
Molecule: non-coding RNA, 189 nt
Organism: Oryza glumipatula
Lineage: Eukaryota; Viridiplantae; Streptophyta; Magnoliopsida; Poales; Poaceae
Source: Rfam